CCCCGUGGCAUCCUCAGCAGCCCGGCCUCUUCCCCUCGGUGGCUGCCACCGCCCCGGGUGUCACUCUGCAGCAGCAGGAGGCCACGGCGGCCGCAUUAGCUGCUGCUCUGGUGGAGGGAAUUAAUUGUCUGAGCAACAGCUAGGGGCAGGAGGGAGCGGGUGAUUAUGCACCCUCGUUUUCUGCCUCUAAUUACCGUGUUCCAAACCCAGGCCCAGCUGAUGCGUUUCAGAGGCGUUUGAGCUCACGGCUCCCCAGCGGCUAAACGUGCGGGGUGCUGCCAGAUGGAGUCGGUUUGUUCAGGCCUACAGCAUCUUCCUACUCAGCAGUGUCUUGCAUUUCUUUGCAACACCUGAAGACUCCACUUUACCAGAACUGGGAUGUUGUCUCCGCAGAAAACACACCAGGAAGGAUCUGGCGGCUGUUUCUUGUGUGUGGAUAUCCAUCAGUGGCAGUAGAUGGCUCAGAUUAGUCACUACCAGGUCACCUUCCUGAUACCUGUCCAAGUCACGAGGGUUGAGGCACCGUGAAUUUGGAUUUAGGGGCAGCUCUGCUGACUCAGAGGGAGUACGAGUCAUCUUCUGCUUUCUGUGGCCAGAUUUGCCACCCCAGGUAUAUCCUGCUUUGGGCCAGGUGAGAGAUGAACUGACACGUAGCUCUUUUGAGAGAACAGGCUGGAAGUGAUGUCUUCAAGGAAAUUAAAUAAAAACAGCAGAGCACAUCCACAAUAAGCAUCCGAUCAAAUUCUUACUCGAAUGACUGGAAAAGCCUCCCAUUAUUUGAGGUGGGCUUAGGUAUGGAAAUAAACAAGAGGCACCAUGGAUAAAAGUGUUUGUCCAGCACUAAUCACUACAGACACUUAAAGAGAUUGAAAUUGCUUUAAAAGAUUACUUGGUGUCCAAGUGACAAUUAUACUCAAGCUAAUUUCUUGUGCAGUCUGGUUCAAUCUAUAUGUCUGCACUUUAAAGGCUCAUUUAGCUCGAAUGAUCAGUGAUCAGAAAUAAAAAUAU
Anas platyrhynchos (mallard) is the source of this 1008-nucleotide non-coding RNA. NCBI's taxonomy places the organism in Eukaryota, Metazoa, Chordata, Aves, Anseriformes, Anatidae. The record is from RefSeq and is a predicted model, not a curated record.